GUUUUCAGAACAAGAUUGUGCCAGCUUCAGGAAAUGGUUUUUGAAUUUCUCCAUAUUUGGUACAGACAACUUAAAUGCUAUGCAGCUGGUUUGAGCCUUAUCUUCUUGGUGAUUUUUGGAAGGUAAAUCAUUUGGGCUCAUGAGGAACAGAGGAGCCAAACCACUAUUGAGAAGAUUGCCGUUCACCAUUUUGACAACCACACAAGCCACAGAUGAUACUCUCAGAUUCUAAAGCCUGCCUCCAUUCUCUGGCUGUGGCCCCUUCCUCCAUCUUCAAAUCUAGCAGUUCUGCAAAAAUCUUUCUUAUGAUGCAUUUCUCUGAUUCCAACUCCUCUGCCUCCCCUUUCACCAUUUAAGGACCCUCUGAUUAAACUGGACUCACCCAGAAAAUCCAGGAUAAUCUUCUCAUUUUAACAUCAGCUGAUUGGCAACCUUGCUUCCAUCUGCUACCUGAAUUCCCUUAGCCAUGUAACGUAACAUAUUCACAAGUUCUGGAGAAGAAGACAUGUACUUCUUUGGAGUGACAGAGGGACUAGCUACUACACACUGGAAGAAUCAAAUAUUCAAUAUGAGGUUAUUGACACAAGGAAGAACACAUACAAGAAUUUUAUGUAAAAGGGGUCUAAGAAUGACCAGGAGUUAAUGCGGUAAAGAGAGCAUGAAAGAACAUUUCAAUCCCCAGGAACAGUGCGAGCAAAGGAAUGAAGUGAAGAGAGGAAAUCAAGUCUGGGUUAUCUGACUUACUGCUGAGUGAUUUUACAGCUUGGAAGUAACAGUUCUCUGGUAGCCAGGUUCUCCAGAAGUGUGCUUGUGAGCUCACAGGUUUGUCAUUGGUUCUGUUUAGGGUCCAAUGUUGCAUGUCAUUCAUUCUCUGCUUUCCUCCAGACGGGAAGUUCUCAAUUAGUGUUACAAUGGGAUGGGACCCAUAUAUUGGAAAUAAAGCUAUAGAGGAAAAGGUUGGAGAUUGCAUUUAUGUACAGAUUUGGGAGUGUCUGUCAACUCAGUAAUGGCUAACAUGUCAUACAUACACGUGGCAAAGACAGUAAAGACAGCAAAUAACAAGUACAACAGAAGCCAUUGAGGUGGUCAUAAAAGAACACACACAAAUGUAUGCAGAUAUUUAGUAAGCGCUCAUGACAAAACAGUAUAUAAUUUGUGGAAAUAUUUUCAAAUCUAGGCAACACCUCUAUGUUUCACUGUCACUGACGCAUGUUAAGCAACUCUCAUUUACAUGUGAACUCCACAGUGCCCAUAAUCUUAAACUUGAUUCGUAAGAUUGUAAUACCCAUCAGCACCCUUAUUCUAAUCUAAGAAAUUCUGGGAAUGAAGAGCAAAUAGGCAAUAUAAAGUCUAUCUGAAUAUUUAGACAAGGAAGAAGUACUUCAUUUGUUGCACUAGAAGUAAUGCAACAAUUAAUUAACACAGACAAUAGGAAUUUCUCUUGCCAUACCACUUCUACAUCUUCUGGGUGACAAGGACCCACUAUUCUUUUCAGGAAAUGUAUUUGACUUUUACUUCGGUAUAAACAUAUGUGAAAUAAAUAACUUAUUUACUUAUUAUGAUGUAUAAACAUAUGUUUAUACCUGAAAUAAAAGUCAAAUGGCUUUGGGAGGCCGAGGUGGGCAGAUCACGAGGUCAGGAGUUUGAGACAAUCCUGGCCAAUAUGGUGAAACCCCAUCUCUGCUAAAAAUACAAAAAUUAGCUGGACGUGGUGACACACUCCUGUAGGCCCAGCUAAUUGGGAGGCUGAGUCAGAAGAAUCGCUUGAACCUGGGGGUUGGAGGUUGCAGUGAGCCGAGAUCAUGCCACUGCACUUCAGCCUGGGCGAUGGAGCGAGACUUGGUUUCAAAAAGUCAAAUGGCACUGGGGACAUAAGACUGAGCCCUGGGGGACCAACCUUCUUGUUAUCUCAGACUGUUCCUGAAGUUUUGCUCCUUAUCUUCGUGUGACCACAAAUUCUUUUCGUUCAUUCAGUCUUAAGUUACCUUCUCCUGGUAAACUCAUGACCCCUCACCCAUUGGAGUUUGUUCUAACUUCCUAUCUAUGACCAACUUCAAAGUGUCGACCAUGUGGAGAUUUCCUUCUUGACUUCCAUUAUUCCAGCCACUUGCAUGGGGACAGCAAUAGUCUCUCCUUGGUGUUAGCCAGCGGGACUCUGUCAGGCUCAACUAAAUUCCGAAUGUCCCACAUAAAAUAAAAAUUUCUGGCAUUUCUUUGAUCUUCUACCAUAUUCCCUGUUUUCGGUAAUCAAAUGUGUUUAACAAUUUGCUUAACCACAUGAUAAAUCUAAAAACAUUGUUGCCCUGUUAAUGUUAUGUUAAUGCAAAUAAUAACUCAAAAGGCAGAAAUCUGUGGUGUUCAAAAUUUCUUUUGUAAAAUUUCCAUACAACGAUACUUUUAAAACUUGACAAAGAAAUCUGGCUCUCCUUUUUGCUUGCCCCAGCCUUCCUUUCUUCUUCCCUCUUGUCCCCAUUUUUAAGGGCCCAUUGUGCUCCAAGCACUGUGGUCUGAUUAAGGAAAUGUUCAACUUGAUAAGUACAGAACGUUAUUGUCAAGGUUCUGUUCUUUGAAUUUUUAUGAUGCAGAACUUAGAGAGCAAGAAAGUCAAAGAAGAAAGGGACUGAAGAAUGUCAAGGAAAUGACCUAGCACUACAAGCCAUAAAGUAAUGACAGUUUCAAGGGGAAGAAUAGAGAGAAAGAGGAAUCAUGUGGAGAGGAAGAAGGUGGGGAGUUAAGGAGAGAAUUUGGAAGUAAUGACUUGAGAAAAGACGCGCUAGAGUAACUCCGGGAUCAAAGAAACAUGAACAGCCAGAAAAAGGAGAUUUUUUUUUAAUGUUUCUAAGUACUUCAUAUUCUGAUGCCCUGUGAGUAAAAUAAGGAGUUUCUUUUUAAUUAGGUUGUUCUGUUAAACUUUGUCUUUUGCACAUGCCGUAGCUCUGAGACUGAGUAUAUAGAUUUAUGAAUGCAGAGAAAAUAUAACUAAAACAAAACAUCUGGCCAGUCUACGACAUACUCCCUGUUAUAUUUUAUAAUUCUGUCUGAAUAAAUAUAUUUAGAGC
Molecule: long non-coding RNA, 3059 nt
Organism: Gorilla gorilla gorilla (western lowland gorilla)
Lineage: Eukaryota; Metazoa; Chordata; Mammalia; Primates; Hominidae
Exons: 3
Source: RefSeq, a predicted model, not a curated record